UUUCGGUCACCUGACUUCCAGUGCUGCCUCAGCCUGAAUUGGCAGUACUCGUGUUGAUUGUUGUUCAUGUUACAGAGAUCACCCGUGGAUUCCCUUCCUGAAGCCCCCAUCGUGGCUGGGUUCUUUUUCCCUGCUGCUGCCAGCCUCUUAAGAAUGGACAUCAGCGUGGACAGCGGCUACAUACAUGCCGGCUACGGGAGUCCACUGGCGUGCAUGUUGAUGUCGUUUAAUGAUUAAAUUAGAAUAGUCGGGCAGACGGCAAUUUGGAAUAAUACGAUGCGGAGGGCCAGACGUGGAGGAGACUGGGGUGCCUUGGUGGUGGGAUCCUUUGAGUAUUACACACCUGUGUUUUUAGUUCAUUAUUGUGAGCCUGUGACAGUGCGCUGCACUUGUGUAUCGACAUGCCCUGUAAGGACAUGAGGAGGAAACGGUGACAAAAGGAGCUGUGUGAGGCUGCUAAAGGCAGUGGAUCCCUCCCCACCUGGAUUAAAAAGAGCACAGGUAACAAUAACACACGUACCAGUUGUUGCAUUGCAGACUUAUUCAAGUAUAAAAACAAUAAUAAACACAAUUGCAGUGUUAUAGUUCUAUAACAUGUUUCCAUCAUUGCUUUAUUAUGGAUUAGUUGCAAGAGCUGUUAAGUGUGGAUAAUUAAAUAAUAGAUUGAUGCAAUAGCAAAUUGGGCAUUUUUCUGAGAUGGACAGCAAGUGGAGAAUGAUGGGGGGGGCAACCAGGUGAGGAGUACAAAGAUAGUCAAACAUGGUGGUCGAAUGGCGUUGUUUGCAUGACUGCUGCUCAUACUAGGGAGCUACAGUUACUUGAGGUAACCAUGAAUGCCAACUUGUACUGUGACAUACUCAGGCAGAGCAUGAUCACCUCCCUUCGGAAACUGGGCCACAGGACAGUAUUCCAACAUGAUAACAAUCCCAAACACACCCCCAAAAGGACUGUUACUUGCUAAACAAACUGAGGGUAAAGGGACUUGACUGCCCAAUCAUGUCUCCAGACUUAAACCCAAUUGAGCAUCUGUGGGGCAUCCUCAAAUUGAAGGUGGAAGAGCAAAAAGUCUCUAACAUCCACCAGCUGUAUGAUGUCAUCAUGAAGGAAUGGAAGAGGAUUCCAGUGGCACCCUCUGAAGCUCUAGUGAAGUCCA
Long non-coding RNA from Haplochromis burtoni (Burton's mouthbrooder), 1153 nucleotides. RefSeq lists it as uncharacterized. NCBI's taxonomy places the organism in Eukaryota, Metazoa, Chordata, Actinopteri, Cichliformes, Cichlidae. The record is from RefSeq and is a predicted model, not a curated record. The transcript is spliced from 4 exons.